AUACGGAGGAUCCGAGCGUUAUCCGGAUUUAUUGGGUUUAAAGGGUGCGUAGGCGGCCUUUUAAGUCAGCGGUGAAAGUCUGUGGCUCAACCAUAGAAUUGCCGUUGAAACUGGGGGGCUUGAGUAUGUUUGAGGCAGGCGGAAUGCGUGGUGUAGCGGUGAAAUGCUUAGAUAUCACGCAGAACCCCGAUUGCGAAGGCAGCCGGCCAAGCCAUGACUGACGCUGAUGCACGAAAGCGUGGGGAUCAAACAGGAUUAGAUACCCUGGUAGUCCACGCAGUAAACGAUGAUCACUAGCUGUUUGCGAUACACUGUAAGCGGCACAGCGAAGGCGUUAAGUGAUCCACCUGGGGAGUACGCCGGCAACGGUGAAACUCAAAUGAAUUGACGGGG
Molecule: ribosomal RNA, 393 nt
Filed under: uncultured bacterium
Lineage: Bacteria
Description: partial 16S ribosomal RNA
Rfam family: Bacterial small subunit ribosomal RNA
Source: RNAcentral